RNAcentral lists this long non-coding RNA (603 nucleotides) under Monodelphis domestica (gray short-tailed opossum). RNAcentral's name for it is "lncRNA (ENSMODG00000030389.2)". Lineage: Eukaryota; Metazoa; Chordata; Mammalia; Didelphimorphia; Didelphidae. The record is from RNAcentral.
AAUAUUCAGUCUAUUUUUUCAUUCAAGGGUAGAAAUAAUAGAAGAGAGUACACUUUUGUUAUCAUCAUCAGCAACAACAGCUGUCCCACUACCACAGCUCUCACAGACCAUCUAGGGAACCAACUGCUGUAAAGAAGCCAUCAAGAAUCUCAGCAUCUCAUACCAUACACCAAGAUAAAUUCAGAAUGGCCUAGCCUCUACAAAUAUCACCAACAACUAAUGAAGAAAUGACACCCAAAGGCAAGUAAAUAAAAUAGCCUAUUUAAGAAGUAAAAUGUUCCCCCACUCUUAAGACCAUGUUUUCUGCUUCCAGGCCAACCCUUAGAGACAUCAACUGGAGAAGCAAUUGUAAAAAAGUUCCAAAGACCUAACUCCACACUGACUAUCUGGUUACAUGCUUGGAAAAGAAUUGCCACAUGCCUAGAGAAAUCCUCUAGCAUAUCUUUGUGAGGAGUAAGAAGGACCAAGAGAAAGUAAUUACAAUAUAAAUAGUUCUUCACAUAUUAAACAUUAAUCUUGGACACUAACAUUAAUGGCUGUGAGUCAACUUGUAUUGUACUGUAUUAAGAUGUACAAAUAUUUCAAUAAACAAAUUAACUGGCU